CAACAAAAAAGCAGCUUUGGUAAUCAAAAUAAGCCACACCUAGGCCUAAAACCAAUACCACACUUUCUGCUAAAGAUGCUGAUCUCUCAUGAAGAAAGUGAGCACACCCAGAGAUGAGAGGAAAGCAUCCCUGAUUCUCAAUGCUCUCAAGAUGGGCACUACUGGCAGUCUCAGGCAAAUGCUCUAAGGUGCAAAAGGUUCCCUGCUCCUUGACCAUGUGGAACAAACACAGCGCUACCCAGGAGCUUAAAGAAGACUUCCAGGACAGGAAUAUCCAGCUCCAGUCCUAUUUAUUACUGCUAAUUCCUUGACACAGAAUCCUCCUGAAGGAGAGCCAGUUGUUAAACAUUUACAAGCACACUACUGGACACAGCCAGCCUGAGACAACCUCUUGAUGUGGGAGCUAAGAAAAACUCAUACACAGACCUCACUCUCAAGAUAGAAGGAGGACCAGACUCCCCCAGGAGUCUCUUGGUGUGUGCUACUCGAACCAUCAAGCAUGUCUCCAGUUUCUUCGGUGAGCAACUGUGUGGACAGUGAUUCAAUUUACUGAAAGAAAAAUAGACAAAGUAUUAUUUGUCACAAUAUCUCUUAAUUAUACUUUCCUGCUCAUCCUUAUCACUCCUCAUUUCCCACAUCAGUGGAGGUAACUUUGGCAGACAAUUGAAAACAUUGGAUUUUCUAGCAGGGUCGGCGAAUGAGUUUAUUUGUUUAUUUUUAUUUUUUUAAACAAUAAAACUGACUCUAAGUUAAGGGAGAAUUUAUUAGAAAGAUGUGAAAGAGCUCAGAGAAUCAAAAAGGGACCUGAAGAAUGAGGGUCACUGAGGGCAGGACCAGGGCAGCUCCAGAUUAUCCAAGUGGUAGGAAGUUAUCAAUGAUCUCCUCAGAGAAUCGCUGUUGAAAUAAAUCCUAUUCCUUUUUUUUAACAGUCCUGGAGUUACUUUGCUCAAGAUGCACUGUCAUAGAAUAAAAUAUGAUUGGCCAACUUAGGUUAAUGACUACUUUGGCAAGAAGAAGGCAGGGUUCCUCGACCGACAGUCCCACUGGGACUGUCACAAUAAGGAGCCAGUAAUUCCUAAGGAAUUCAGAGUGCUCUUAAGAACAGGAGAGUGAAUGGGUGCUGGGAAGCCAAGGAGAGGUGAAUGUCCACUGCAUUCUGGGACAUGACCUUCCUCCAGUUGGGGGUCGGGUACCAUUAAUGUGGAAGUAAUGGCAAAUUAAUUGUUAUUUAAAGGUCUCUAGGUGUAAUGUCAAUAGUGCAGAAUGUCACACUAUUUAACAUUGAGAGUUAACAUUGAAAAAAAUCACAGGUAUGUAAAUAAAUGUUGAACUAAAAUAAACAAGAAACUGAAAGAAAAGCUAAAAGGUGCUGACGUUUAAAAGGAAGAUCAAACGCUACUGUUUUAUCAAACCUGAUGAACAGAUAAGUAUGUUCCAGUAGC
Molecule: long non-coding RNA, 1442 nt
Filed under: Equus asinus (donkey)
Lineage: Eukaryota; Metazoa; Chordata; Mammalia; Perissodactyla; Equidae
Description: lncRNA (ENSEASG00005032547.1)
Source: RNAcentral